Molecule: ribosomal RNA, 220 nt
Filed under: uncultured bacterium
Lineage: Bacteria
Description: partial 16S ribosomal RNA
Rfam family: Bacterial small subunit ribosomal RNA
Source: RNAcentral
AACGUACUCAGUUCGGAUUGUAGUCUGCAACUCGACUACAUGAAGCUGGAAUCGCUAGUAAUCGCAGAUCAGAAUGCUGCGGUGAAUACGUUCCCGGGUCUUGUACACACCGCCCGUCACACCAUGGGAGUCGGAAAUGCCCGAAGCCGGUGACCCAACCAAGAGGAGGGAGCCGUCGAAGGCAGGUCUGAUAACUGGGGUGAAGUCGUAACAAGGUAAC